AUACGGAGGGUGCGAGCGUUGUUCGGAAUUACUGGGCUUAAAGCGCGUGUAGGCGGAGUAUCAGGUGUCGUGUGAAAGCCCCGGGCUCAACCCGGGAACGGCUCGGCAAACCGGUACUCUUGAGGCGAGUAGAGGUGAGUGGAACAACUGGUGGAGCGGUGAAAUGCGUAGAUAUCAGUUGGAACGCCGGAGGCGAAAGCGACUCACUGGGCUUGACCUGACGCUGAGACGCGAAAGCGUGGGUAGCAAACAGGAUUAGAAACCCCUGUAGUCC
Molecule: ribosomal RNA, 274 nt
Filed under: uncultured bacterium
Lineage: Bacteria
Description: partial 16S ribosomal RNA
Rfam family: Bacterial small subunit ribosomal RNA
Source: RNAcentral